Regulatory RNA element from Dethiobacter alkaliphilus AHT 1, 75 nucleotides. It matches the Rfam family "S10-Clostridia ribosomal protein leader". NCBI's taxonomy places the organism in Bacteria, Bacillati, Bacillota, Dethiobacteria, Dethiobacterales, Dethiobacteraceae. The record is from Rfam.
UGAUAACAAUGAAGCAAAAGGUUGCGGGCCUUUGUGGCCCGGGAAUUUUUGCGGAGUAGUCUGAAAAUCAGGCGA